Molecule: RNA transcript, 1800 nt
Organism: Ziziphus jujuba (common jujube)
Lineage: Eukaryota; Viridiplantae; Streptophyta; Magnoliopsida; Rosales; Rhamnaceae
Gene name: serine/arginine-rich splicing factor SC35
Exons: 11
Source: RefSeq, a predicted model, not a curated record
UAAAAAACGCUGAAGCUUCCUUGUGCGCUCUCUCCUUCUGGACCCUUCUCUGUCCACAAACCCUAGCAAGUCCUAAUUCCCUAUACUCUCUCUUGCUCUGCAGCAACCAUGUCGCACUUCGGUAGGUCUGGUCCACCGGAUAUCGCCGAUACCUACUCUCUUCUCGUCCUCAACAUCACCUUCCGUACCACUGCUGAUGAUCUCUUUCCGCUUUUCGAUAAGUACGGAAAAGUUGUUGAUAUCUUCAUCCCUAGAGACCGAAGGACUGGCGAAUCGAGGGGCUUUGCCUUUGUGCGAUACAAAUAUGCAGAUGAGGCACAAAAAGCAGUUGAAAGGCUAGAUGGAAGAGUUGUCGAUGGCCGAGAGAUUACUGUUCAAUUUGCAAAAUAUGGGCCAAAUGCUGAGAGGAUUCAUAAGGGAAGGAUCACUGAAGUUUUCCCAAAAUCAAAGUAUAGAUCAAGAAGCCGUAGUCCUCGAAGAAGGUACAGGGAUGAUUACAGAGAUCGAGACUACAGGAGAAGAAGUCGAAGUAGAAGUUGGGACAGGUAUGAACGCAGCCGAUAUCGUGGAAGGGACAGAGAUUAUCGGCACCGGAGCAGGAGUCCCAGUGCUAGUCCAGAUUAUUACAGGAGCAAGGGAAAAGGCCGCUAUUAUGAUGAACGGCGUAGUCGAAGCAGAAGCCGAAGCCGCAGUUGGAGUCGAUCUAUGGAUAGUGCGUCACCUGCUCGGCAUAGUCUAAGUCCUGACAAGAGUCCUCUGCCACGCAGAACUCCAUCACCUAGGGGUGAAAGUCCUGAUCGGCGCAGUCGUGAUGGACGGUCCCUUUCUCGUAGUCCUUCACCACCACGGCGUCGUUCUGCUGAUUCUCGGAGCCCAUCUCCAAGAUAUUCAGAUAUUGAGGAAUGAUGUAAUGGGCGUGUAAGGAGAUCUACAAAGACAUCUCGAGUGGUCUGAUCUGACUGUUUUGUUAAUGUUCAGGACCUUGAUUAUCGGAAUUUAAGUGGUAGUUUUGUUAUGCUCGAGAAGAGUGAAUGAGCCUGAUAGGAGAAUGUUGAUGUUGUCGCUGGUGAUGCUGUUACUAUGUCGUAGAUGAUGAUCACAAAAUGAUGAUGAUCACAAAUGAUUUGCUGGUUGCGGCAGUAUGGUGGUCUUAGAAGUAAUGGUAUGGUUGAUUAAGCAGUGUGCUGAUUGCAGUGAACAAAUUAAUCUACUGAUUUUCUUGAUGCUAUGCUCGAGAAAAGAGUGAAUGGGCCUGAUAGGAGAAUGUUGAUGUCAUAACUGGUGAUGCUGUUUCUAAGUCGUAGGUGAUGAUCACCUGAUAGGAGAAUGUUGAUGUUAUAGCCGGUGAAGCUGUUUCUAAGUUGUAGAUGAUGAUCACAACCGACUUACUGGUUGCAGCAGAAUGGUUGUUUUAGACAUGGUGGUUGAUGUUGCAGGGAACAAAUUAGUUAACUGAUUUUCUUCCAAAGAUAGGCAGUAAUGGGUUAAGACAAGUGGACUGGUACAACACAAGCAUGAGCGGGCCAAUAUUUGAACUCUCGUAUCUCAAAUUUUGGAGUAAUAGGGAUGCGAAAAACAGACCAAACUAUCUACUUCGUUACUAUUGUUCAGGGGCAUAAUCGGUGGCGCCACACAUGUAAAGGUAACCUGUCUUACUAUAAAGUGGAUUAAAAAUAAUAUUUUUUCUUUAGAAAAAGAUUAUCCAUAAUGUGGUUAAAACAAAAAAAAAAAACAAAAGAGAAAAUAAAGAAUCUGUUUCAUCAUCCGUUUAUAAAUUAAAAUUGUUUUUAAAAUAAAAAA